RNAcentral lists this ribosomal RNA (493 nucleotides) under uncultured bacterium. Its description in RNAcentral is "partial 16S ribosomal RNA". It matches the Rfam family "Bacterial small subunit ribosomal RNA", at positions 30 to 523 of the family's 1533-position model. The record is from RNAcentral.
AUUGAACGCUGGCGGCAUGCUUUACACAUGCAAGUCGAACGGUAAAAGGUUAAGCUGACGAGUGGCGAACGGGUGAGUAAUGCAUCGGAACGUGCCCGGUCGUGGGGGAUAACGCAGCGAAAGCUGCGCUAAUCCCGCAUACGAUCUGAGGAUGAAAGCGGGGGACCGUAAGGCCUCGCGCGAUCGGCGCGGCCGAUGUCAGAUUAGGUAGUUGGUGGGGUAAAGGCUCACCAAGCCAACGAUCUGUAGCUGGUCUGAGAGGACGACCAGCCACACUGGGACUGAGACACGGCCCAGACUCCUACGGGAGGCAGCAGUGGGGAAUUUUGGACAAUGGGCGAAAGCCUGAUCCAGCAAUGCCGCGUGCAGGAAGAAGGCCUUCGGGUUGUAAACUGCUUUUGUACGGAGCGAAAAGGUCUCCUCUAAUACAGGGGGCUCAUGACGGUACCGUAAGAAUAAGCACCGGCUAACUACGUGCCAGCAGCCGCCGUAA